CCUACGGGUGGCAGCAGUGGGGAAUUUUGGACAAUGGGCGAAAGCCUGAUCCAGCAAUGCCGCGUGUGUGAUGAAGGCCUUCGGGUUGUAAAGCACUUUUGGCGGGAACGAAAGGGACUGUGCCAAUACCACGGUUCGAUGACGGUACCCGCAGAAUAAGCACCGGCUAACUACGUGCCAGCAGCCGCGGUAAUACGUAGGGUGCAAGCGUUAAUCGGAAUUACUGGGCGUAAAGAGUGCGCAGGCGGUUUUGCAAGACCGAUGUGAAAUCCCCGGGCUUAACCUGGGAACUGCAUUGGUGACUGCAAGGCUAGAGUGUGUCAGAGGGAGGUGGAAUUCCGCAUGUAGCAGUGAAAUGCGUAGAUAUGCGGAGGAACACCGAUGGCGAAGGCAGCCUCCUGGGAUAACACUGACGCUCAUGCACGAAAGCGUGGGGAGCAAACAGGAUUAGAUACCCCAGUAGUC
This 465-nucleotide ribosomal RNA is filed under the name uncultured Lautropia sp. RNAcentral describes it as "bacterial SSU rRNA". It matches the Rfam family "Bacterial small subunit ribosomal RNA", at positions 338 to 795 of the family's 1533-position model. The record is from RNAcentral. Lineage: Bacteria; Pseudomonadati; Pseudomonadota; Betaproteobacteria; Burkholderiales; Burkholderiaceae.